Molecule: non-coding RNA, 24 nt
Filed under: Arabidopsis thaliana (thale cress)
Lineage: Eukaryota; Viridiplantae; Streptophyta; Magnoliopsida; Brassicales; Brassicaceae
Source: RNAcentral
GACAUCUUGUUUAUCUCUUUGUGU